Molecule: ribosomal RNA, 846 nt
Filed under: uncultured bacterium
Lineage: Bacteria
Description: bacterial SSU rRNA
Rfam family: Bacterial small subunit ribosomal RNA
Source: RNAcentral
AGAGUUUGAUCCUGCUCAGGGAUGACCGCUAGCUACAGGCUUAACACAUGCAAGUCGAGCGGUAUGUGCUUUAGUGCAUACAGCGGCAGACGGGUGAGUAACACGUAUCUACCNUUUCCCCUUUACUUGGGCAUAGCCUCUGGAAACGGAGAUUAAUUUCCGAUGUGGUGUACAUUUCGCAUGUUUUGCGCACCAAAGAUUUAUCGGUAAGGGAUGGGGAUGCGCUCCAUUAGGUUGUAGGUAGGGUAAUGGCCUACCUAGCCUAUGAUGGAUAGGGGUUCUGAGAGGAAGGUCCCCCACAUUGGAACUGCGACACGGUCCAAACUCCUACGGGAGGCAGCAGUGAGGAAUAUUGGUCAAUGGCCGGAAGGCUGAACCAGCCAAGUAGCGUGCAGGAUGACUGCCUUAUGGGUUGUAAACUGCUUUUUUACGGGAAUAAUUACGAUCACGUGUGAUUAUUUGCAUGUACCGUAAGAAUAAGGAUCGGCUAACUCCGUGCCAGCAGCCGCGGUAAUACGGAGGAUCCUAGUGUUAUCCGGAUUUAUUGGGUUUAAAGGGAGCGUAGGCGGGAGGUCAAGUCAGCUGUGAAAUGUAUCUGCUUAACGGGUACACUGCAGUUGAAACUGGUUUUCUUGAAUGCGUAAGAGGCAGGCGGAAUUCGUUGUGUAGCGGUGAAAUGCUUAGAUAUGACGAGGAACUCCUAUUGCGAAGGCAGCUUGCUGGGUCGUUACUGACGCUGAUGCUCGAAGGUGCGGGGAUCAAACAGGAUUAGAUACCCUGGUAGUCCACACUGUAAACGAUGAUAUACUCUCUGUCGGCGAUACACUGUCGGUGGCCCAAGCGAAA